UAGGGAAUCUUCCGCAAUGGACGCAAGUCUGACGGAGCAACGCCGCGUGAGUGAAGAAGGAUUUCGGUUCGUAAAACUCUGUUGUUAGAGAAGAACAGCGCAUAGAGUAACUGUUAUGCGUGUGACGGUAUCUAACCAGAAAGCCACGGCUAACUACGUGCCAGCAGCCGCGGUAAUACGUAGGUGGCAAGCGUUGUCCGGAUUUAUUGGGCGUAAAGCGAGCGCAGGCGGUCAAUUAAGUCUGAUGUGAAAGCCCCCGGCUCAACCGGGGAGGUGAAUUGGAAACUGGUUGACUUGAGUGCAGAAGAGGAGAGUGGAAUUCCAUGUGUAGCGGUGAAAUGCGUAGAUAUAUGGAGGAACACCAGUGGCGAAGGCGACUCUCUGGUCUGUAACUGACGCUGAGGCUCGAAAGCGUGGGUAGCAAACAGG
RNAcentral lists this ribosomal RNA (429 nucleotides) under Bacteroidota bacterium. RNAcentral describes it as "Bacteroidetes bacterium partial 16S ribosomal RNA". It matches the Rfam family "Bacterial small subunit ribosomal RNA", at positions 355 to 776 of the family's 1533-position model. Lineage: Bacteria; Pseudomonadati; Bacteroidota. The record is from RNAcentral.